This 658-nucleotide long non-coding RNA is filed under the name Helianthus annuus (common sunflower). RNAcentral's name for it is "hypothetical non coding rna". Lineage: Eukaryota; Viridiplantae; Streptophyta; Magnoliopsida; Asterales; Asteraceae. The record is from RNAcentral.
GAUAUAGAGUAAAAUAGUAAUAGUAAGAUAGUAAUAAACAAGCUUGUAUUUAUUUCAUGUUAACAAUUUGGAAGAAAUAUACUUACAAUUAAAACCGUAAAACCGACCUCUAUUUACAUUCUAAGGGUCGGCUUUUUUGUUUUUUUUUUUUCGAACUUUUUGCCCUCUAUACAUCAAAUUCUCUAGUUUGUCGAUGUUAUAUUAGAUACUCGUAAAACAUAAAGAAAAGGGCAUCUGGCGAAUCUUUAGGUAGAUUAUUGAUGUAUAAAUAGAAACGAACCAAAUCCUCUUUUGAAACGAGAUCGGCAUCUAUGACGUCAUCGUUGCAUGUGAGAACCCAUAAAUCUCGUGACUUUACUCUCUUUAUAUUACCCCGACAAAACGGGCAUGACGCUUGUCUCGAGUUCCUGCAAAUAUGGAAAAAGAUGUAUAAGAUUAGUGUGCUGUUGUACUCCAUGUUUAAAGAACCGGACUGAACGUCGAACCGGUCUCCUUACUAGUUCAGUGGUAUGACACUGGUCGAACCGGACGUAAGAACCAGAUGGUAUUGAGUUAAUUACUGUUUUCGUACUUGUGGUUUGUCAAAAAUCACUAUUUCAGUCCAUUAGUUUAAAAAUUGCGAUUUCAGUCCCUGUGGUUUCACUUUCGUAACCAUUUC